GAGCGGCGAACGGGUGAGUAACACGUGAGCAACCUACCCUCAACUUUGGGAUAAGCCUCGGAAACGGGGUCUAAUACCGGAUAAUACCGUCUGCCUCAUGGUGGGUGGUUGAAAGUUCUGGCGGUUGGGGAUGGGCUCGCGGCCUAUCAGCUUGUUGGUGGGGUAAUGGCCUACCAAGGCGUCGACGGGUAGCCGGCCUGAGAGGGCGACCGGCCACACUGGGACUGAGACACGGCCCAGACUCCUACGGGAGGCAGCAGUGGGGAAUAUUGCGCAAUGGACGAAAGUCUGACGCAGCAACGCCGCGUGAGGGAUGACGGCCUUCGGGUUGUAAACCUCUUUCAGCAGGGACGAAGCGAGAGUGACGGUACCUGCAGAAGAAGGACCGGCCAACUACGUGCCAGCAGCCGCGGUAAUACGUAGGGUCCGAGCGUUGUCCGGAAUUAUUGGGCGUAAAGGGCUCGUAGGCGGUUCGUCACGUCGGGAGUGAAAACUCGGGGCUUAACCCCGAGCCUGCUUCCGAUACGGGCAGACUAGAGGUAGGCAGGGGAGAGCGGAACUCCUGGUGUAGCGGUGGAAUGCGCAGAUAUCAGGAAGAACACCGGUGGCGAAGGCGGCUCUCUGGGCCUUACCUGACGCUG
RNAcentral lists this ribosomal RNA (641 nucleotides) under Kribbella sp. I12A-02591. Its description in RNAcentral is "bacterial SSU rRNA". It matches the Rfam family "Bacterial small subunit ribosomal RNA", at positions 93 to 748 of the family's 1533-position model. Lineage: Bacteria; Bacillati; Actinomycetota; Actinomycetes; Propionibacteriales; Kribbellaceae. The record is from RNAcentral.